GACAACCGCUGCCGGCCGUGUUUACCCCAUGCAAGUCGAACAAAGAGCGACGAAAGCUUUGCUUUCUAUCAUUUUAAGUGGCGACGGGUAAGUAACGCGUAAUCACCUGCCCUUCAGAGGGGGACACAGUUGGAAACGACUGCUAAUACCGCAUACGAUCUAAACUCGGCAUCGAGGAUAGAUGAAAGGUGGCCUCUACAUGUAAGCUAUCACUGAAGGAGGGGAUUGCGUCUGAUUAGCUAGUUGGAGGGGUAACGGCCCACCAAGGCGAUGAUCAGUAGCCGGUCUGAGAGGAUGAACGGCCACAUUGGGACUGAGACACGGCCCAGACUCCUACGGGAGGCAGCAGUGGGGAAUCUUCCGCAAUGGACGAAAGUCUGACGGAGCAACGCCGCGUGAGUGAUGACGGCCUUCGGGUUGUAAAGCUCUGUUAAUCGGGACGAAAGGCCUUCUUGCGAAUAGUGAGAAGGAUUGACGGUACCGGAAUAAAAGCC
RNAcentral lists this ribosomal RNA (494 nucleotides) under Veillonella sp. oral taxon D93. RNAcentral describes it as "bacterial SSU rRNA". It matches the Rfam family "Bacterial small subunit ribosomal RNA", at positions 28 to 492 of the family's 1533-position model. Lineage: Bacteria; Bacillati; Bacillota; Negativicutes; Veillonellales; Veillonellaceae. The record is from RNAcentral.